AACGAACGCUGGCGGCAGGCUUAACACAUGCAAGUCGAACGAGAUCUUCGGAUCUAGUGGCAGACGGGUGAGGAACACAUGGGAACAUCCCUUUCAGUUCGGAAUAACGUUGGGAAACUAACGCUAAUACCGGAUACGUCCUUCGGGAGAAAGAUUUAUCGCUGAAAGAUUGGCCCGCGUCUGAUUAGCUAGUUGGUGAGGUAAUGGCUCACCAAGGCUACGAUCAGUAGCUGAUCUGAGAGGAUGAUCAGCCACAUUGGGACUGAGACACGGCCCAAACUCCUACGGGAGGCAGCAGUGGGGAAUAUUGGACAAUGGGCGCAAGCUUGAUCCAGCCAUGCCGCGUGAGUGAUGAAGGCCUUCGGGUUGUAAAGCUCUUUUAUCCGGGAAGAUAAUGACUGUACCGGAAGAAUAAGCCCCGGCAAACUUCGUGCCAGCAGCCGCGGUAA
This 449-nucleotide ribosomal RNA is filed under the name uncultured bacterium. RNAcentral's name for it is "partial 16S ribosomal RNA". It matches the Rfam family "Bacterial small subunit ribosomal RNA", at positions 29 to 523 of the family's 1533-position model. The record is from RNAcentral.